Molecule: ribosomal RNA, 493 nt
Filed under: uncultured bacterium
Lineage: Bacteria
Description: partial 16S ribosomal RNA
Rfam family: Bacterial small subunit ribosomal RNA
Source: RNAcentral
AUUGAACGCUGGCGGCAUGCUUUACACAUGCAAGUCGAACGGUAACAGGUUAAGCUGACGAGUGGCGAACGGGUGAGUAAUGCAUCGGAACGUGCCCGAUCGUGGGGGAUAACGCAGCGAAAGCUGCGCUAAUACCGCAUACGAUCUGAGGAUGAAAGCGGGGGACCGUAAGGCCUCGCGCGAUCGGAGCGGCCGAUGUCUGAUUAGGUAGUUGGUGGGGUAAAGGCCCACCAAGCCGACGAUCUGUAGCUGGUCUGAGAGGACGACCAGCCACACUGGGACGGAGACACGGCCCAGACUCCUACGGGAGGCAGCAGUGGGGAAUUUUGGACAAUGGGCGAAAGCCUGAUCCAGCAAUGCCGCGUGCAGGAAGAAGGCCUUCGGGUUGUAAACUGCUUUUGUACGGAGCGAAAAGGUCCUUUCUAAUACAGGGGGCUCAUGACGGUACCGUAAGAAUAAGCACCGGCUAACUACGUGCCAGCAGCCGCCGUAA